This 490-nucleotide ribosomal RNA is filed under the name uncultured bacterium. RNAcentral's name for it is "partial 16S ribosomal RNA". It matches the Rfam family "Bacterial small subunit ribosomal RNA", at positions 30 to 507 of the family's 1533-position model. The record is from RNAcentral.
AUUGAACGUUGGCGGCAGGCCUAACACAUGCAAGUCGAACGGUAACAGGAAGAAGCUUGCUUCUUUGCUGACGAGUGGCGGACGGGUGAGUAAUGUCUGGGAAACUGCCUGAUGGAGGGGGAUAACUACUGGAAACGGUAGCUAAUACCGCAUAACGUCGCAAGACCAAAAAGGGGGACCUUCGGGCCUCUUGCCAUCGGAUGUGCCCAGAUGGGAUUAGCUAGUAGGUGGGGUAACGGCUCACCUAGGCGACGAUCCCUACCUGGUCUGAGAGGAUGACCAGCCACACUGGAACUGAGACACGGUCCAGACUCCUACGGGAGGCAGCAGUGGGGAAUAUUGCACAAUGGGCGCAAGCCUGAUGCAGCCAUGCCGCGUGUAUGAAGAAGGCCUUCGGGUUGUAAAGUACUUUCAGCGGGGAGGAAGGGAGUAAAGUUAAUACCUUUGCUCAUUGACGUUACCCGCAGAAGAAGCACCGGCUAACUCCGUG